Molecule: ribosomal RNA, 465 nt
Filed under: Vreelandella stevensii
Lineage: Bacteria; Pseudomonadati; Pseudomonadota; Gammaproteobacteria; Oceanospirillales; Halomonadaceae
Description: partial 16S ribosomal RNA
Rfam family: Bacterial small subunit ribosomal RNA
Source: RNAcentral
CCUACGGGCGGCUGCAGUGGGGAAUAUUGGACAAUGGGGGGAACCCUGAUCCAGCCAUGCCGCGUGUGUGAAGAAGGCCCUCGGGUUGUAAAGCACUUUCAGCGAGGAAGAACGCCUGGUGGUUAAUACCCAUCAGGAAAGACAUCACUCACAGAAGAAGCACCGGCUAACUCCGUGCCAGCAGCCGCGGUAAUACGGAGGGUGCGAGCGUUAAUCGGAAUUACUGGGCGUAAAGCGCGCGUAGGUGGCUUGAUAAGCCGGUUGUGAAAGCCCCGGGCUCAACCUGGGAACGGCAUCCGGAACUGUCAAGCUAGAGUGCAGGAGAGGAAGGUAGAAUUCCCGGUGUAGCGGUGAAAUGCGUAGAGAUCGGGAGGAAUACCAGUGGCGAAGGCGGCCUUCUGGACUGACACUGACACUGAGGUGCGAAAGCGUGGGUAGCAAACAGGAUUAGAUACCCUAGUAGUC